This 433-nucleotide ribosomal RNA is filed under the name uncultured bacterium. RNAcentral describes it as "partial 16S ribosomal RNA". It matches the Rfam family "Bacterial small subunit ribosomal RNA", at positions 29 to 507 of the family's 1533-position model. The record is from RNAcentral.
AACGAACGCUGGCGGCAGGCCUAACACAUGCAAGUCGAGCGCGCCCUUCGGGGUGAGCGGCGGACGGGUGAGUAACGCGUGGGAACGUGCCCUUUUCUACGGAAUAGCCUCGGGAAACUGAGAGUAAUACCGUAUACGCCCUUUGGGGGAAAGAUUUAUCGGAAAAGGAUCGGCCCGCGUUGGAUUAGGUAGUUGGUGGGGUAAUGGCCUACCAAGCCGACGAUCCAUAGCUGGUUUGAGAGGAUGAUCAGCCACACUGGGACUGAGACACGGCCCAGACUCCUACGGGAGGCAGCAGUGGGGAAUCUUAGACAAUGGGGGCAACCCUGAUCUAGCCAUGCCGCGUGAGUGAUGAAGGCCUUAGGGUUGUAAAGCUCUUUCAGCUGGGAAGAUAAUGACGGUACCAACAGAAGAAGCCCCGGCUAACUCCGUG